AGCUUUGUGCAGUGACAGUAUCAUAGCCAAUAAGGUUUAUUGGAGGCACGAUUAUUGCUAAUUGAAGAAAAAAUAAAAUGGCUAUCUACAAGAAAUACCGUGCACUAAAAUCUGAUGUUAUUUUGUGAUA
Myotis lucifugus (little brown bat) is the source of this 130-nucleotide small nuclear RNA. Its record names the gene U4. It matches the Rfam family "U4 spliceosomal RNA". From Rfam's summary of the family: U4 small nuclear RNA (U4 snRNA) is a component of the major U2-dependent spliceosome. Lineage: Eukaryota; Metazoa; Chordata; Mammalia; Chiroptera; Vespertilionidae. The record is from Ensembl.